This 1877-nucleotide ribosomal RNA is filed under the name Clostridioides difficile. RNAcentral describes it as "partial 23S ribosomal RNA". It matches the Rfam family "Bacterial large subunit ribosomal RNA", at positions 534 to 2428 of the family's 2925-position model. The record is from RNAcentral. Lineage: Bacteria; Bacillati; Bacillota; Clostridia; Peptostreptococcales; Peptostreptococcaceae.
GGGAGUGAAAUAGAACCUGAAACCCUGCACUUACAAGCUGUGGAAGCACAUUUCUUGUGUGACCGCGUACUUUUUGUAGAACGGGCCAACGAGUUACGUUAAGUAGCAAGGUUAAGCACUUAAGGUGCGGAGCCGUAGCGAAAGCGAGUUUUAACUGAGCGUUCAGUUACUUGACGUAGACCCGAAACCGGGCGACCUACCCAUGAGCAGGAUGAAGCGAAAGUAAAAUUUCGUGGAGGUCCGAACCCACGAGCGUUGAAAAGCUCGGGGAUGACUUGUGGGUAGCGGUGAAAUUCCAAUCGAGCCCGGAGAUAGCUGGUUCUCCCCGAAAUAGCUUUAGGGCUAGCCUCAAGGUGAGAGAUACGGAGGUAGAGCACUGAAUGUCCUAGGGGGUAUUGCACCUACCGAAGACUAUCAAACUCCGAAUGCCGUCAUCUUAUACUUGGGAGUCAGACUGUGGGUGAUAAGAUUCAUAGUCGAAAGGGCAACAGCCCAGAUCGUCAGCUAAGGUCCCUAAAUGUAAGUUAAGUGGUAAAGGAUGUGGGAUUGCACAGACAACCAGGAUGUUGGCUUAGAAGCAGCCACUCAUUCAAAGAGUGCGUAAUAGCUCACUGGUCGAGUGAUCCUGCGCCGAAGAUUUCCGGGGCUAAAACUUACUACCGAAGCUACGGCAUCAGUAAUGAUGGGUAGGGGAGCUUCCCAUACGGGUUGAAGCAUGACCGUAAGGACAUGUGGACAGUAUGGGAGUGAGAAUGUUGGCAUGAGUAGCGAGAUGUGGGUGAGAAUCCCACAGGCCGUAAACCCAAGGUUUCCAGGGGAAGGUUCGUCCGCCCUGGGUUAGUCGGGACCUAAGCUGAGGCCGAAAGGCGUAGGUGAUGGACAACAGGUUGAUAUUCCUGUACUACCGAUAACCGUUUGAGAGAAGGGAUGACACAGUAGGAUAAGCUAAGCACACUGUUGGUUAUGUGUGCCCAAGCAUUGAGGCAGUCAAAGUAGGCAAAUCCGCUUUGAUAAUGCUGGGAUGUGAUGGGGAGCGAAAUUUAGUAGCGAAGUAGCUGAUUUCACACUGUCAAGAAAAGUCUCUAUCGAGGUUAAAGGUACCCGUACCGCAAACCGACACAGGUGGGUGAGGAGAGUAUCCUAAGGCCAGCGAGAGAACUGUUGUUAAGGAACUCGGCAAAAUGACCCCGUAACUUAGGGAUAAGGGGUGCCACCAUCAGGUGGCCGCAGAGAAUAGGCCCAAGCGACUGUUUACCAAAAACAUAGGUUUCUGCUAAGUCGCAAGACGAUGUAUAGGAGCUGACGCCUGCCCGGUGCUGGAAGGUUAAGGGGAUCUGUUAGAGCAAUCGAAGCAGUGAACUUAAGCCCCAGUAAACGGCGGCCGUAACUAUAACGGUCCUAAGGUAGCGAAAUUCCUUGUCGGGUAAGUUCCGACCCGCACGAAAGGCGUAACGAUUUGGGCACUGUCUCAACAACAGACUCGGUGAAAUUGUAAUUCCGGUGAAGAUGCCGGAUACCUGCGACAGGACGGAAAGACCCCAUGGAGCUUUACUGUAGCUUGACAUUGGGUCUUGGUACUACAUGUACAGGAUAGGUGGGAGGCUUUGAAACCAGGACGCCAGUUUUGGCGGAGCCAUCCUUGGGAUACCACCCUUGUAGUACUGGGACUCUAACCAUAGGCCAUGAAUCUGGUCUUGGGACACUGUCAGGUGGGCAGUUUGACUGGGGCGGUCGCCUCCCAAAAGGUAACGGAGGCGCUCAAAGGUUCUCUCAGUACGGUCGGAAAUCGUACGUAGAGUGUAAAGGCAAAAGAGAGCUUGAUUGCAAGACAUACAGGUCGAGCAAGGAUGAAAAUCGGACUUAGUGAUCCGGUGGUU